GAUGAACGCUGGCGGCGUGCUUAACACAUGCAAGUCGAACGGAAAGGCCAGUGCUUGCACUGGUGCUCGAGUGGCGAACGGGUGAGUAACACGUGGGUGAUCUGCCCUGCACUUUGGGAUAAGCCUGGGAAACUGGGUCUAAUACCAGAUGGGACCAUGCUUUGGAUGGUGUGGUGGAAAGUUUUUUCGGUGUGGGAUGAGCUUGCGGCCUAUCAGCUUGUUGGUGGGGUAAUGGCCUACCAAGGCGUCGACGGGUAGCCGGCCUGAGAGGGUGUACGGCCACAUUGAGACUGAGGUGCGGCCCAGACUCCGACGGGAGGCAGAAGGGGGGAAUAUUGCACGAGGGGCGCAAGCCUGAUGCAGCGACGCCGCGGGGGGGAGAACGGCCUUCGGGUUGUAAACUCCAUUCGCAACUGACGAAGCUUUUUGUGACGGUAGGUUGAGAAGAAGCACCGGCUAACUACGUG
RNAcentral lists this ribosomal RNA (467 nucleotides) under uncultured bacterium. Its description in RNAcentral is "partial 16S ribosomal RNA". It matches the Rfam family "Bacterial small subunit ribosomal RNA", at positions 28 to 507 of the family's 1533-position model. The record is from RNAcentral.